This 710-nucleotide ribosomal RNA is filed under the name uncultured Eubacteriales bacterium. RNAcentral's name for it is "bacterial SSU rRNA". It matches the Rfam family "Bacterial small subunit ribosomal RNA", at positions 60 to 771 of the family's 1533-position model. Lineage: Bacteria; Bacillati; Bacillota; Clostridia; Eubacteriales. The record is from RNAcentral.
AGUCGAGCGAUGAAACUUUAACAGAACCCUUCGGGGCGAAGAUAAAGUGGAUUAGCGGCGGACGGGUGAGUAACACGUGAGUAACCUGCCUUAGACAUUGGGAUAGCCUCGGGAAACUGGGAUUAAUACCAAAUAAAAUCAUAAUGACACAUGUCAUAACGAUCAAAACUCCGGUGGUCUAAGAUGGACUCGCGUCCCAUUAGCUAGUUGGUAGAGUAAAAGCCUACCAAGGCGACGAUGGGUAGCCGGCCUGAGAGGGUGAACGGCCACAUUGGAACUGAGAAACGGUCCAAACUCCUACGGGAGGCAGCAGUGGGGAAUAUUGCACAAUGGAGGGAACUCUGAUGCAGCGACGCCGCGUGAACGAAGAAGGCUUUCGAGUCGUAAAGUUCUUUUAUAUGGGAAGAUAAUGACGGUACCAUAAGAAAAAGCCCCGGCUAACUACGUGCCAGCAGCCGCGGUAAUACGUAGGGGGCUAGCGUUGUCCGGAAUCACUGGGCGUAAAGGGUUCGCAGGCGGAAAUGCAAGUCAGAUGUAAAAGGCAGUAGCUUAACUACUGUAAGCAUUUGAAACUGCAUAUCUUGAGAAGAGUAGAGGUAAGUGGAAUUUUUAGUGUAGCGGUGAAAUGCGUAGAUAUUAAAAAGAAUACCGGUGGCGAAGGCGACUUACUGGGCUCAUUCUGACGCUGAGGAACGAAAGCGUGGGUGCAA